Long non-coding RNA from Cyprinodon variegatus (sheepshead minnow), 571 nucleotides. RefSeq lists it as uncharacterized. The transcript is spliced from 3 exons. NCBI's taxonomy places the organism in Eukaryota, Metazoa, Chordata, Actinopteri, Cyprinodontiformes, Cyprinodontidae. The record is from RefSeq and is a predicted model, not a curated record.
GCACUUUUCCUCAAUGUUGUUGGGAUCUGGAGUUUUGUCCACUUUCUCCACCAGAGGGCGCACGAGAUCUCCUGGGGGCAUGAGCUGACUGCUACACCUGUCUUCAAUCUGCCAAUCAGGAGACUCCUUCUUAAGGAGGCAGAGACUGACACUCCAGUGCCAGAGUGUUAGCCAGUAAUGAACCUGACCUGUCUGAAAACCUGAAACCGGGAAAAUGACUCAGUCUGGAAUCUGCCUGCCUGCAUUCGGUCAGUCUCUGCCUGCCGACAAACCUCUGGACCCUCAGGGUUACCCCCCUCCUGCUGAUCUGACCCGCCCCAGAGCAGUGGUGAUCCUCCCGUGACCAGUCGGACCAACCCAGUUCCAGUGCACAUUUGAAAACUCUGUGAAUAAAUCUUUGAACUUUUUCUCUGUCUCCUGAGUGUUCUCUGCAUGUGGGUUAGACAUCUCAACCCCAUCAUGACAACUGUAUGCUUAUUGACGUUAUAACAUUAAGAACGAGUUGUUUAAAUAUACAUAGGUGGUGGUGCAUCCAAUGGAAGACACCUUGUUUUGUCCCCAUCUUUGAAUA